RNA transcript from Bombus impatiens (common eastern bumble bee), 3054 nucleotides. RefSeq lists it as uncharacterized. The transcript has 8 exons. Lineage: Eukaryota; Metazoa; Arthropoda; Insecta; Hymenoptera; Apidae. The record is from RefSeq and is a predicted model, not a curated record.
AGCUGUGGAGUGGGCGGCAUGAGCUCGCUAGGGUCGCAGCACUUGGACACGCGAUCAUCGCGCGAUACACACGCUCUUCCCAAAUGCCUCACCGGUUGCAGCUAUUUCCUCGCGACGCGUGCCUUUCGCGCGAUCGUGCGUACGACUUAUCGUGAGGGAGGUCAAGGGGAGUCCGGCAGACCUGUCGAACCAUUCGGUACUUAUUCUGCUGCGUUCUUUUUGUCAAGGUGCUCCUUGCCGCGGCUCUUUCCCAUUGUGACUCUGCCGCCUUGAAUCGCGACUCGGGUAUAAUACAGUGCGUGGACUACUGCUUUCGUGAACUGACACCGUGUGUGACGCUGUUCUCUGUGAGACUGUGGUGAAGUAUUAAAGAAGAUUCUUCGAGAAGAUAGACUGGUUAUAAAUUGAUCGAUUGCCUGGCCAUGGAUUGGAGACUCGGAUUGCUGUUGUUGACCUGUCUUCUUGUUGACGGCACGGUAGCGUUGAGGAUGCUGGAGCUGGUGGUCCCCCAGCAUGUGGUCCGUGGUCAGAACAUCAAGUUGGAGUGCAACUUUAACCUGGACGGUGAGACGUUAUACUCGGUAAAAUGGUACAAAGACGGGAACGAGUUCUACCGAUACGUGCCGCAGAACAUGCCGCCUGUGCUCGUCUUUCAGCUGCCAGGUGUCACGGCGAACAUUCACAAUUCGACCGAGAGAUCGGUCGUUCUCUAUUCCGUGAACCUAAUGAGCACCGGAAGAUACAGAUGCGAGGUGUCAGCCGAGGCGCCAUCCUUCCAAACGGUCUCCGAUCACUCGGACAUGCUGGUAGUGGCCCUACCGGAAGACGGGCCCAUUAUCACCGGAAGGCCAGGAAGGCAUCGUUAUCAAGUCGGUGACGUGGUACGGUUCAAUUGCACUUCGGCGAAGUCUAAACCAGCUGCCAUGCUCAGCUGGUUCAUCAACGGGGACCCUGUCGACACGCAAUACUUGAGAGGGCCCCACAUCACUGAGGUGGAUCGCGAGGGUCUGGAAACCGCCGUGCUAGGUCUGGAGUUCCGUCUGCGUACGAAGCACUUCAAGAGGGGGGACCUGAAGAUCAAAUGCCUGGCAACGAUAGCGACCGUAUAUUGGAAAUCGAACGAGCUCAGCAUAGAGGGUGAAAGGCCCCUCAAGAUGCCGGUCAUGGAGAGCAGGGAGACAAGGGCGCAAGGCCAUACGCACGCGGAACAUAUCUUAGGAGAAAUAUGAGAACCGCUGUUAUACUUCAGUUAACUCUUGGACAGCGAAUUUGUGGAUGGCGAUGGCUAGGUCAACUUUGAUACGGACAUUUCACGUUUAUACUCUCUAAUGAUAUACUUGCGUGUUAUCGUUUUAUCAGAUUAUAUAUAAACAGUUUUAUUUCUGGGAUAAAUAUUAUUAUUACGUUGGGAUUUUCAUCCCCUAGGAGAGGAUUCCUAACCUAUAAACGAUCCUUUACCACCAAGACAUCAAUCGUUAAGAUCGAUGCCAAGGAAAAAGGACCGUCUGUCCACGAGGAAAUAUCGAGACGAAAUAUCGUUAGGAAAAACUGUGACAACGAAUCAGAGACACGUUCGUUUGCCGACAAUUUGCUGACUUAUGGUCACAUGCCUGGCGAACGUCAGUAAACGUUUGUGAAGCGGAAGCAGCAUGUUAGCGCCGUGUAUCUUCCUGCUGAUGACGAGUAUAUUGAUUCUACGAUAAGAAGGACACACACAACAUGGUGCCGCGUCCUUUUUUGUGCUCAUCCUUUUCAGGCCUCCAAAAACAAGUGUUAUGGAGACCACUGGUGUACUAAAUUAUCCGUGUUGUUUCUAUUUUUUAUAAUCGCAGUUAGUGGAGUUAGCGACGAUAUAGGCGAGAGAAUAUACUUAACAGAGAUAUACGUCAGUAUGUUAGAGAUUAGAAAAUGGGUGGACGCAUAAAUUCGUACUUACUGAAUCGGGUGUGUAAAUCUCCCUGCAUCUUGCACGGAUUUUUUAUACUUUCCAUGUUUCGUUAUCUUAUAGCUUAUAGUCGUUUUUAACACUAUAACGAAAGGCUAAUUUCGAAAUUGACGAACAAUGGUUUUUUUGUACUUGUAGAAAAAUUUAGUAACUUUAAAUAUAUGAAAAACAAAAAGAUUAAAGUAAUAAAUAGAUUUAGUUAUCUAACCCAAAAUGCAAGAUGACCACUACAAAUGCACAAAAAUUCUUGUCCGAUUGCAUUUUUAAUUUCGACAAUAAUAUAAUAUUGAUUGUCAAUAUAAAAGUAAUGAAACGUAAUAAAAGUAAUUAAAUCUUGUAUGAUGUUAAUAGAAUUUAAAAAGUAACACAAAGUUAACGCUCAUAUGGCGGAGGUAAUGUCGUGUCUGCGGCGUCAUAGUGUUAAAUCCCAGAUUCUCAAGCAAGAUGCAAAGAGAUGUAUAGUCUCGUUAAAAAAAACAUGAUCAUGGUUAUUUAAAGAAGCUAUUCAAUCGUUGAUACAACACAGAGAGCAGAGUUUACAAAUCUACGUUCAUCUCAGCAUCUUCAAACUCUCGAGAGUGCGAAAUUGCAGCCCUUACGUACUUCUUUUCCUCUCCUUCAUCUCUUACUAUUAAAAAAAAUCGCAAGCGUAAACGAACGAUUAAUAAUCAACCGGAAUGAAUGAAUGAAUGAACGAACGAGCGAACGAACGCCGAGUAUAUUUAUAUUCUAAUUGUACACGAGUGUUUCUAUCGUCCAGUCACGCGAGAGAACAAGCAAAGAUUUUAGCCCCGGUGAGAGUGUUCUCUUUCGUCGUAGCUUUUAUCAAUCUAGUCGCUAUUAAUCAACAGAGAUAUGUUACCCUAGAAGUUAUUGUGAGCCGUAUGUAUGCGCGUGAAUGUAGAGUGUGUUUUACCAAAGAACAUUUUGCGCUAAAUAACAUUCCUAAUUGUUAAUUACAAGUGAAAUACACGGGGUGGUAUAAAAAGAAACCACUACCUGCAUAUCGUAUUUUACUGUAAGAGCACUUUGUACAUAUGUACAUAAAUUGAACCGACUUUUAUCUCUAACUUAACGUUCUGAUAAAUAAAGCGGCGUUUACUUCAAUG